This 563-nucleotide ribosomal RNA is filed under the name Coniophora sp. olrim359. Its description in RNAcentral is "eukaryotic LSU rRNA". The stretch from base 206 to 360 matches the Rfam family "5.8S ribosomal RNA". Lineage: Eukaryota; Fungi; Basidiomycota; Agaricomycetes; Boletales; Coniophoraceae. The record is from RNAcentral.
GGCAGAGUGGUUCGAUGUUGUUGCUGGCCUCUCACCGAGGCAUGUGCACACUUCGUCCUCGCUUUACUUCUUCGUUUGUACACACCUGUGAACCUGUUUGUAGGGUGCCUUUGCUGGCACUCUAUGUUUUUUCAUAUACUCCACUGCAUGUCUAUAGAAUGUCNUCCUUUGCUCUCGUCAGAGACAAAGAAUAAAAAGUUAUUAUAACUUUCAGCAACGGAUCUCUUGGCUCUCGCAUCGAUGAAGAACGCAGCGAAUUGCGAUAUGUAAUGUGAAUUGCAGAUUUUCAGUGAAUCAUCGAAUCUUUGAACGCACCUUGCGCUCCUUGGUAUUCCGAGGAGCAUGCCUGUUUGAGUGUCAUUAAAUUCUCAACUCCCUUUGAUUUCUUCAAAGGCGAGCUUGGAUGUUGGAGGCUUGCCGGCUGCAAAGUCGGCUCCUCUGAAAUGCAUUGGCGAAGGGAGUGUGCAUGUUACGGCCUUCGGUGUGAUAAUGAUCGCCGUGGCUGGCUUGCUGUAGCACCUUUGUCUCAUCUUUGNUUCCAUUGGGUUGGAACAAAGCUUGAC